CUUCCCUUCGGGGCAUUCCAGACAGGUGGUGCAUGGUUGUCGUCAGCUCGUGUCGUGACGACGUUGGGUUAAGUCCCGCAACGAGCGCAACCCUUAUCCUUAGUAGCCAGCAGUUCGGCUGGGCACGUCUGGGGAGACUGCCGAGGGAUAACCUGGAGGAAGGUGGGGAUGACGUCAAAUCAUCAUGCCCCUUAUGAUUUGGGCUACACACGUGCUACAAUGGCGUAAACAAAGGGAAGCAAAGGAGUGAUCCGGAGCAAAAUCUCAAAAAUAACGUCUCAGUUCGGAUUGUAGUCUGCAACUCGACUACAUGAAGCUGGAAUCGCUAGUAAUCGCGGAUCAGAAUGCCGCGGUGAAUACGUUCCCGGGUCUU
This 373-nucleotide ribosomal RNA is filed under the name uncultured Lachnospiraceae bacterium. RNAcentral's name for it is "bacterial SSU rRNA". It matches the Rfam family "Bacterial small subunit ribosomal RNA", at positions 1013 to 1382 of the family's 1533-position model. Lineage: Bacteria; Bacillati; Bacillota; Clostridia; Lachnospirales; Lachnospiraceae. The record is from RNAcentral.